CUGGUUGAUCCCGCCGGAGGGUACUGCUAUCAGAGUACGACUAAGCCAUGCAAGUCAGCUCGCCCAGGCGCGGCACACGGCUCAGUAGCACGUAGUCAAUCUACCCUGAGGACGGGGAUACCCACGCGAAAGUGUGGUUAACCCCCGAUGGGCCACGGGAGGUGGAAUCCCCCAUGGCCGAAAGGGCCGCGACCGCCGGAUGGGACUGCGGCCGAUUAGGUAGUUGGUGAGGUAACGGCUCACCAAGCCGAUAAUCGGUGGGGGCAAUGGGAGUUGGAGCCCCGAGAAGGGCACUGAGACAAGGGCCCUAGUCCUACGGGAUGCAGCAGGCGCGAAACCUUCGCAAUGCGCGAAAGCGUGACGAGGGAACUCUGAGUGCCGACUCUGUGCUCGGCUUUUAGCGAGCCCAAAAAGCUCGCUGAAUAAGGGUUGGGUAAGACCGGUGCCAGCCGCCGCGGUAACACCGGCAACCCAAGUGGUAUCCACGAAUAUUGGGUCUAAAGAGUCCGUAGCUGGCCUGUUAAGUUCUCUGUGAAAUAGCGGGGCUCAACCUGCUGCGCGCAGGGAAUACUGGCAGGCUUGGGAGCGGGGGAGGUCGAGAGUACUUACGGGGUAGGGGUAAAAUCCGUUAAUCCUGUAAGGACUACCAGUGGCGAAGGCGCUCGACCAAAACGCGUCCGACAGUGAGGGACGAAGGCUAGGAGAACGAAUCGGAUUAGAUACCCGAGUAGCCCUAGCAGUAAAUGAUGCAGACUAGGUGUUGCACCGGCUUCGAGCCGAUGCAGUGCCGUAGCGUACGUGUUAAGUCUGCCACCUGGGGAGUACGGUCGCAAGGCUGAAACUUAAAGGAAUUGGCGGGGGAGCACCACAAGAGGUGGAUGCUGCGGUUCAAAUGGAGUCAACGCC
Molecule: ribosomal RNA, 906 nt
Filed under: uncultured archaeon
Lineage: Archaea
Description: bacterial SSU rRNA
Rfam family: Archaeal small subunit ribosomal RNA
Source: RNAcentral